Long non-coding RNA from Humulus lupulus (European hop), 250 nucleotides. RefSeq lists it as uncharacterized. Lineage: Eukaryota; Viridiplantae; Streptophyta; Magnoliopsida; Rosales; Cannabaceae. The record is from RefSeq and is a predicted model, not a curated record. The transcript is spliced from 4 exons.
ACAGGUGACAAGGAGAGCCUGGGAAAGUGUGAACAGUAUUUUAUGGAGUUGAUGAAAGUUCCUAGAGUGGAAUCAAAAUUGCGAGUGUUCUCUUUCAAGAUUCAGUUCAGCUGUCAGAUUUCAGAAUUUAAAAAGAGUUUGAACACUGUGAACUCUGCAUGUGAAGAGGUCCGAAAUUCCCUCAAAUUAAAAGAUAUUAUGAAGAAAAUUCUUUUUCUGGGUAAUACUUUGAACCAAGGGACUGCAAGAG